UAACAAGGUCUCCGUUGGUGAACCAGCGGAGGGAUCAUUACUGAGUUAUCUAAACUCCCAACCCUUUGUGAACCUUACCGUCGUUGCCUCGGCGGGCUGUGCCUACCCUGUAGCUACCCUGUAGCUACCCGGUAGGUACGCUGCAAGCCCGCCGGUGGACCACCAAACUCUGUUUUAAUACUGAAUCUCUGAAUGCUUCAACUUAAUAAGUUAAAACUUUCAACAACGGAUCUCUUGGUUCUGGCAUCGAUGAAGAACGCAGCGAAAUGCGAUAAGUAAUGUGAAUUGCAGAAUUCAGUGAAUCAUCGAAUCUUUGAACGCACAUUGCGCCCAUUAGUAUUCUAGUGGGCAUGCCUAUUCGAGCGUCAUUUCAACCCUUAAGCCUAGCUGCUUAGUGUUGGGAAUCUGCCCUGCUCCUGCAGCGCAGUUCCCCAAAGUGAUCGGCGGAGUUAGGGCAUACUCUAAGCGUAGUAAUAUCUCUUCUCGCUUCUGUAGUUGUCCUGGCGGCUUGCCGUUAAACCCCUAUAUUUCUAGUGGUUGACCUCGGAUUAGGUAGGAAUACCCGCUGAACUUAAGCAUAUGGAGCAAAAGAAACCAACAGGGAUUGCCCUAGUAACGGCGAGUGAAGCGGCAACAGCUCAAAUUUGAAAUCUGGCCCUAGCGGUCCGAGUUGUAAUUUGUAGAGGAUGCUUUUGGUUAGGUGCCUUCCGAGUUCCCUGGAACGGGACGCCGGAGAGGGUGAGAGCCCCGUACGGUUGGACACCGAGCCUCUAUAUAGCUCCUUCGACGAGUCGAGUAGUUUGGGAAUGCUGCUCUAAAUGGGAGGUAAAUUUCUUCUAAAGCUAAAUACCGGCCAGAGACCGAUAGCGCACAAGUAGAGUGAUCGAAAGAUGAAAAGUACUUUGAAAAGAGGGUUAAAUAGCACGUGAAAUUGUUGAAAGGGAAGCGUUUGCGACCAGACUUUUUCCAGGCGGAUCAUCCGGUGUUCUCACCGGUGCACUUCGCCUGGUUUAGGCCAGCAUCGGUUCUCUUAGGGGGAUAAAGGCCUGGGGAACGUAGCUCCCUCGGGAGUGUUAUAGCCCCUCGCGUAAUACCCUUCGGGGGACCGAGGAACGCGCAUCUGCAAGGAUGCUGGCGUAAUGGUCGUCAACGACCCGUCU
Molecule: ribosomal RNA, 1160 nt
Filed under: Daldinia sp. CHTAE3
Lineage: Eukaryota; Fungi; Ascomycota; Sordariomycetes; Xylariales; Hypoxylaceae
Description: eukaryotic LSU rRNA
Rfam family: Eukaryotic large subunit ribosomal RNA (bases 539-1160)
Source: RNAcentral